RNAcentral lists this ribosomal RNA (571 nucleotides) under Aspergillus flavus. Its description in RNAcentral is "eukaryotic LSU rRNA". The stretch from base 204 to 357 matches the Rfam family "5.8S ribosomal RNA". The record is from RNAcentral. Lineage: Eukaryota; Fungi; Ascomycota; Eurotiomycetes; Eurotiales; Aspergillaceae.
UGAACUGCGGAAGGAUCAUUACCGAGUGUAGGGUUCCUAGCGAGCCCAACCUCCCACCCGUGUUUACUGUACCUUAGUUGCUUCGGCGGGCCCGCCAUUCAUGGCCGCCGGGGGCUCUCAGCCCCGGGCCCGCGCCCGCCGGAGACACCACGAACUCUGUCUGAUCUAGUGAAGUCUGAGUUGAUUGUAUCGCAAUCAGUUAAAACUUUCAACAAUGGAUCUCUUGGUUCCGGCAUCGAUGAAGAACGCAGCGAAAUGCGAUAACUAGUGUGAAUUGCAGAAUUCCGUGAAUCAUCGAGUCUUUGAACGCACAUUGCGCCCCCUGGUAUUCCGGGGGGCAUGCCUGUCCGAGCGUCAUUGCUGCCCAUCAAGCACGGCUUGUGUGUUGGGUCGUCGUCCCCUCUCCGGGGGGGACGGGCCCCAAAGGCAGCGGCGGCACCGCGUCCGAUCCUCGAGCGUAUGGGGCUUUGUCACCCGCUCUGUAGGCCCGGCCGGCGCUUGCCGAACGCAAAUCAAUCUUUUUCCAGGUUGACCUCGGAUCAGUAGGAUACCCGCUGAACUUAAGCAUAUC